RNAcentral lists this long non-coding RNA (323 nucleotides) under Vigna radiata. RNAcentral's name for it is "long non-coding RNA (VRAD_LNC004103)". The record is from RNAcentral. Lineage: Eukaryota; Viridiplantae; Streptophyta; Magnoliopsida; Fabales; Fabaceae.
GAGUGGGAAUCAGAUUCACGUGUUUGGGGAAGCUGCCGGUCACAAAGGGACAGAUGGUCCUAAUCGAGUGGGGGCCCACAAGAGGCCCAAAAGAUACCAUCCUACAAAAAAGAAAUCUGCCCAUUAUUUUAGUGUUGUCCUUGUUAGGGACUGAUCACUAAAUGCUACCUUUGGCGUUUGUACCUACCCUACGUGGGGUCCUUCCCAAGGUCUCUGUCUCCCAACUGCAUCAAAUCAACAAACACCAAUUUUGUUUUUCCUUUCUUUCUUUCCCUUUCAACCACUUCACAAUGCAUUGCACAACAUACAUGGAACAACCUCAC